AGUGAACGCUGGCGGUAGGCCUAACACAUGCAAGUCGAACGGCAGCACAGUAAGAGCUUGCUCUUACGGGUGGCGAGUGGCGGACGGGUGAGGCAUACAUCGGAAUCUACUUUUUCGUGGGGGAUAACGUAGGGAAACUUACGCUAAUACCGCAUACGACCUACGGGUGCAAGCAGGGGAUCUUCGGACCUUGCGCGAUUGAAUGAGCCGAUGUCGGAUUAGCUAGUUGGCGGGGUAAAGGCCCACCAAGGCGACGCUCCGUAGCUGGUCUGAGAGGAUGAUCAGCCACACUGGAACUGAGACACGGUCCAGACUCCUACGGGAGGCAGCAGUGGGGAAUAUUGGACAAUGGGCGCAAGCCUGAUCCAGCCAUCCCGCGUGGGUGAAGAAGGCCUUCGGGUUGUAAAGCCCUUUUGUUGGGAAAGAAAAGCAGCAGGUUAAUACCCCGCUGUUCUGACGGUGCCCAAAGAAUAAGCACCGGCUAACUUCGUG
Molecule: ribosomal RNA, 492 nt
Filed under: uncultured bacterium
Lineage: Bacteria
Description: partial 16S ribosomal RNA
Rfam family: Bacterial small subunit ribosomal RNA
Source: RNAcentral